UUAAGAAUCUUGCGCAAUGGGCGAAAGCCUGACGCAGCGACGCCGCGUGGACGAUGAAGGUCUUCGGAUUGUAAAGUCCAGUAAGUAGGAACGAAUAAGCAACGGGUAAUAUUCGUUGUGAUGACUGUACCUACCUAAAGCCCCGGCUAACUACGUGCCAGCAGCCGCGGUAAUACGUAUGGGGCGAGCGUUGUUCGGAAUUAUUGGGCGUAAAGGGCGUGUAGGCGGGGAGGCGGGGAGUUAAGUCAGGUGUGAAAUCCAUAGGCUCAACCUGUGAACUGCACUUGAUACUGAUUC
RNAcentral lists this ribosomal RNA (297 nucleotides) under uncultured prokaryote. RNAcentral describes it as "partial 16S ribosomal RNA". It matches the Rfam family "Bacterial small subunit ribosomal RNA", at positions 355 to 639 of the family's 1533-position model. The record is from RNAcentral.